AGAGUUUGAUCCUGGCUCAGGACGAACGCUGGCGGCGUGCCUAAUACAUGCAAGUCGAGCGAGCUUGCCUAGAUGAUUUUAGUGCUUGCACUAAAUGAAACUAGAUACAAGCGAGCGGCGGACGGGUGAGUAACACGUGGGUAACCUGCCCAAGAGACUGGGAUAACACCUGGAAACAGAUGCUAAUACCGGAUAACAACACUAGACGCAUGUCUAGAGUUUGAAAGAUGGUUCUGCUAUCACUCUUGGAUGGACCUGCGGUGCAUUAGCUAGUUGGUAAGGUAACGGCUUACCAAGGCAAUGAUGCAUAGCCGAGUUGAGAGACUGAUCGGCCACAUUGGGACUGAGACACGGCCCAAACUCCUACGGGAGGCAGCAGUAGGGAAUCUUCCACAAUGGACGAAAGUCUGAUGGAGCAACGCCGCGUGAGUGAAGAAGGGUUUCGGCUCGUAAAGCUCUGUUGGUAGUGAAGAAAGAUAGAGGUAGUAACUGGCCUUUAUUUGACGGUAAUUACUUAGAAAGUCACGGCUAACUACGUGCCAGCAGCCGCGGUAAUACGUAGGUGGCAAGCGUUGUCCGGAUUUAUUGGGCGUAAAGCGAGUGCAGGCGGUUCAAUAAGUCUGAUGUGAAAGCCUUCGGCUCAACCGGAGAAUUGCAUCAGAAACUGUUGAACUUGAGUGCAGAAGAGGAGAGUGGAACUCCAUGUGUAGCGGUGGAAUGCGUAGAUAUAUGGAAGAACACCAGUGGCGAAGGCGGCUCUCUGGUCUGCAACUGACGCUGAGGCUCGAAAGCAUGGGUAGCGAACAGGAUUAGAUACCCUGGUAGUCCAUGCCGUAAACGAUGAGUGCUAAGUGUUUGGGAGUUUUCCGCCUCUCAGUGCUGCAGCUAACGCAUUAAG
This 898-nucleotide ribosomal RNA is filed under the name uncultured bacterium. RNAcentral's name for it is "bacterial SSU rRNA". It matches the Rfam family "Bacterial small subunit ribosomal RNA", at positions 8 to 864 of the family's 1533-position model. The record is from RNAcentral.